AGGAUAAACGCUGGCGGCGUGCCUAACACAUGCAAGUCGAACGCGCUUUCGGGCUUCGGUGCGAGAGCGAGUGGCGGACGGGUGAGUAACACAUGGGUACCUACCUUGGAGUGAGGGAUACCGGCGAGAAAUCGCCGACAAUACCGCAUAGGCUUCUUCACAAGGGAAGCAAAGUGACGCGAGUCACGCUUUGAGAUGGGCCUGUGGCCGAUUAGCUAGUUGGGGGGGUAACGGCUUCCCAAGGCGACGAUCGGUAGCUGGUCUGAGAGGACGAUCAGCCACACUGGGAUUGAGAACGGCCCAGACUCCUACGGGGGGCAGCAGUGAGGAAUUUUCCGCAAUGGAGGCAACUCUGACGGAGCAACGCCGCGUGCAGGAGGAAGGUUUUCGGAUCGUAAACUGCUUUCUCGGGGACGAGCAAGGACGGUACCCGAGGAAGAAGCCCCGGCUAACUACGUGCCAGCAGCCGC
This 470-nucleotide ribosomal RNA is filed under the name uncultured bacterium. RNAcentral's name for it is "SSU rRNA". It matches the Rfam family "Bacterial small subunit ribosomal RNA", at positions 26 to 518 of the family's 1533-position model. The record is from RNAcentral.